RNAcentral lists this non-coding RNA (25 nucleotides) under Rattus norvegicus (Norway rat). Lineage: Eukaryota; Metazoa; Chordata; Mammalia; Rodentia; Muridae. The record is from RNAcentral.
UUGAAGAAACCAGUUGGGAACUACC